RNAcentral lists this ribosomal RNA (165 nucleotides) under Eremitis multiflora. RNAcentral's name for it is "Pariana multiflora 5.8S ribosomal RNA". It matches the Rfam family "5.8S ribosomal RNA". Rfam says of the family: 5.8S ribosomal RNA (5.8S rRNA) is a component of the large subunit of the eukaryotic ribosome. The record is from RNAcentral. Lineage: Eukaryota; Viridiplantae; Streptophyta; Magnoliopsida; Poales; Poaceae.
CACGACUCUCGGCAACGGAUAUCUCGGCUCUCGCAUCGAUGAAGAACGUAGCGAAAUGCGAUACCUGGUGUGAAUUGCAGAAUCCCGCGAACCAUCGAGUCUUUGAACGCAAGUUGCGCCCGAGGCCAUCCGGCCGAGGGCACGCCUGCCUGGGCGUCACGCCAA